UCAUAAAGAUAACGGGGAGGUUGAAAAAACGGCCGGAAGUACUUCGAUGAUAGUAAUACUAGAGUCUGGGUAUCACAUUGGUACGAUUAAGAGUUGGGGUAUCACAUUGGUCGGUGCACCAGAGUUGAGGGACUGUUGGUGAAAAAAACUCUAUUUCUAAUGAAAACUGUAGAUAUAGAGAGAUUUAACGGAGAGUUAACGGUGUUAGUUUACUUUAACCUGCUAUAGCAAGUUAAAACUUGUUAGGUAUUUAUACCUUAAGGCACACAAGUGAAACCCUUAAACUCAAGAUAUUUUUAUUUCCGACUUUCUCUAUAUUACUUAUGGGAAUUUCGCUAACGUCCCUUAAAAUAUCUUUGUCAUUCAGUCUCUUCGGUAGUAUAUAUAGGGUGUGUAUAUAGCUGGAUGUGUGUUCAGUAGUGCUAGAGUGAAAAUGUCGAAUUGCUUAGCUAAUGACUCUAUCGGACAACUAUAUAAGGGGAUCAAUAUAUGUAAUUAGGCUCGUCUUCAAUCUAAGUUGAGACAUCCAUCCAAUCUCAAACUUUGUCCGAUUUUAUAUCAUGUAUUUCUAUCAAACUUCAAUCGAGUUUGACACACCAAAGUGACCAAACCUACAUAUCGAUAUCCUCCUCGUUUUAGUCCCUUGACGAGUUGAUGGUACGGUGAACAUACAUAACGUUUCACGAUAGGUCUCACGUUGCAUCGUUACAAGUAACAAAAUUCUGUACACUAGCUACUACCGAAAUCGAUUGAAGAAAAAAGAUGAAGAAUUGUGUCAUGUGUGAUGGUAUUUGGUCUUCUAGUCCCUAGUUGAUCCUUAACGACUCAUUCCUCCUUGUCGGACAGACGUACACUCCGUGCUAUCUGGGCCACAAUUAAAGACCCAUGACAUCAUGCCUUACCUCAGCAUUCCAAAUCCCUCCACCUCCAAGAUCCUCAAAUUCCUUUCAAUCAAAAUAAAAUAAAAAAUCCUCAAAAUUCCCUACGUGGGUUUCUCCUCACCUGACGUGGAUUUCAAAUUACCCCAGAAUUCUCUAUUGAAUAAUCAAAUCAAUACCCACGUUUUCUUCUGUAGAUAGACAAAUAAAAAUCCCACCGGAUUUUUAAACACCCUAACUUCACCGUCCAUGCAACUCGACAGUGAGCCUUCCUUUUACUUUGACCUUUGAAAAUUUUGACCUUCUCGCCCAACUGUCCACAGCACCACCGGUACGUACCCCCUCUGACUUUCCCCUAUCUUCAACCUAUAUAACCCUCUUCUUCUCCUCCUUUUCUC
Molecule: long non-coding RNA, 1276 nt
Filed under: Fragaria vesca (wild strawberry)
Lineage: Eukaryota; Viridiplantae; Streptophyta; Magnoliopsida; Rosales; Rosaceae
Description: long non-coding RNA (FVES_LNC002407)
Source: RNAcentral